GGUGACUGCUGCAACUGUACAGUUUAAGGAAAUGGGCGGAAGAAGUAGACCUGCUGAAUCUUUCAAGGCACCUGAGCAGGCAACAGAGAAGAAGAAAGGAUUGGUUGAUUGGGUGAACCUGAUAAAGCCAGGCAACGAGGAGAAAGAUCAUUGGGUACCUGAUGAAGCAGUCACAAAGUGCACAGCCUGUGGGACAGACUUUGGGGCUUUUGUACGAAGGCAUCACUGCAGAAAUUGUGGAGACAUUUUCUGUGAUAAAUGUACUCAAGGUAGAACAGCACUGACUGCUGAGGAGAAUGCUCCUCAAGUUCGAGUUUGUGACAGAUGCAUGGCGGAAGUGAC
Molecule: unclassified non-coding RNA, 342 nt
Filed under: Hevea brasiliensis (rubber tree)
Lineage: Eukaryota; Viridiplantae; Streptophyta; Magnoliopsida; Malpighiales; Euphorbiaceae
Source: RNAcentral